GCCGGGUGUGGUGGCGUGCGCCUGUAAUCCCAGCUACUCAGGAGGCUGAGGCAGGAGAAUCGCUUGAACCUGGGAGACGGAGGUUGCAGUGAGCCAAGAUUGUGCCACUGCACUCCAGCCUGGGCAACAGAGCAAGACCCCGUCUCAA
Molecule: non-coding RNA, 148 nt
Filed under: Homo sapiens (human)
Lineage: Eukaryota; Metazoa; Chordata; Mammalia; Primates; Hominidae
Source: Rfam by way of RNAcentral